GAUUCCCUACCUUGUUCGUGCUUACGGGGAGUAAUUUUUGAGCCAACAUUUAGUUUGAGGGAGCCUGUGUUUGGAUGCAAUGCGUUGUAUUCAACAGGGCACCCACUUUGCAAUUAGGUUCAAAGAUUUUUCUUCGAGCGACAGGGUGGGGAUUUU
This 156-nucleotide non-coding RNA is filed under the name Candidatus Omnitrophota bacterium. RNAcentral describes it as "6S RNA". It matches the Rfam family "6S / SsrS RNA". From Rfam's summary of the family: E. coli 6S RNA was the first non coding RNA to be sequenced, but its function was unknown until recently. It consists of 184 nucleotides that fold into an extended hairpin structure with a large single-stranded internal bulge. The record is from RNAcentral. Lineage: Bacteria; Pseudomonadati; Candidatus Omnitrophota.